UACGGAGGAUGCAAGCGUUAUCCGGAAUGAUUGGGCGUAAAGCGUCCGCAGGUGGCUAUGUGAGUCUGCUGUUAAAGAGUGAGGCUCAACCUCAUAAGAGCAGUGGAAACUACAUGGCUAGAGUGCGUUCGGGGCAGAGGGAAUUCCUGGUGUAGCGGUGAAAUGCGUAGAGAUCAGGAAGAACACCGGUGGCGAAAGCGCUCUGCUAGGCCGCAACUGACACUGAGGGACGAAAGCUAGGGGAGCGAAUGGG
This 253-nucleotide ribosomal RNA is filed under the name uncultured bacterium. RNAcentral describes it as "partial 16S ribosomal RNA". It matches the Rfam family "Bacterial small subunit ribosomal RNA", at positions 524 to 776 of the family's 1533-position model. The record is from RNAcentral.